Neopsephotus bourkii (Bourke's parrot) is the source of this 913-nucleotide long non-coding RNA. RefSeq lists it as uncharacterized. The record is from RefSeq and is a predicted model, not a curated record. The transcript has 3 exons. NCBI's taxonomy places the organism in Eukaryota, Metazoa, Chordata, Aves, Psittaciformes, Psittacidae.
AAAAAAAAAAAAAAGCCAACAAGCCAAAACAAACAACUAAUUCAAAUGCUACAGCUGGAACACAUGCAUGUUUCACAUGGAUUUGGGAAAUGGACUUAACACCCACAAGUUUACAAGAAUACUUAAUCUUGGGAAUGAGAGUGGUAGGACAUGACAAGCUUUUAGCUAAAGGAGUCAAAUGAUCAAUAUGAAACAAAAUAGGUUGUCUCAUAACGCUGAAUUGCUCACAAAAUGCAGACACCCAUGUUUCUUGUUGAAAAUGAAAGACAUUCAAAAAUUUUUAUUGUUUAGUGUUAGUUUUUAAACUAAUCUUGAAGAAGAUUCCUGAUGGUAUUUGCAGCUUGCAAACACUGAUCUCAGCUAUGCUGUUAAUACUUAUAAAACAUGCCAAGAGGAACCUUUGUGCCUGUGGAUCCUUUAUGAACAGACUGAUAAGGAAUGUGUUGGCUCAUCCUGAAGAUCUCUGGGUAAAAUAAGACCUCUCAGGAAUGCUGGCUUGAGACAAGGAGAAAUGUCAGAACACUAAUUCUGUGGUGCAAAGCUUUUUAUUCUGACACUUCUGCUAAGAUGUGGCUAGGCUCUGGAUCCUGGAGAUGCAAAUGUCAGAGAAGAUAUAUGUGAGCAGUAGGUCCUGGCCGAGGAGGUGACAUUUAGGAUGCCCUUUCCAUCACAUGACAAAGCAGCUGAACAGCUUCAGUUACAGAACAGUGCCAGCUGCACUUCACUCCUCAGUUGCUCUUAAAGUGCUUCUCGUUUCCUCCAUACCGGUCUGCAUCAAGAGCUCCUGCAGCCUGGAGUCACCUGGGGUCCCUGGCAGUGAACACUUCAGAUAGGUAGAGCUGCAGCAGUGCAUGCAAAUCUGUAAGUUGAUAUGGCCAAAAGGAUUUCCAAAUUAACUAAACAGCCCUCAGCU